CUCAUCUAUCUGUGGUCCCAUGCAGCCCUGGAAGAGGAUCCACUAUCGUCGCUCAGGCUGUUCAUCCGCCUGCUCCUCCCCUUUGUGGGCAGUGAUCUAGCACUCACCAUGUCUCAAUUUCGGAGCUCGCUUAAGGUCCCCCACCGCACCCAACGCAGUACUCAAAGCAGGACAGAAAGGACUAUUCAUGCCUGCACAACAAAACGAACCGGCAGGAAGCCACCCUAAACAACCCUCAUUGUCUGACUUGCAGAUUUAAUGGCUCCUCAAAAGAACCUAAAAGUUUUCCCAGCCACAUGCCUCCAAAAGUGGCAUACUAACAAAGGAAACAAAGAAUUUGAUACUCACAGAUCCCAACAGACAAGGAUAAGCUAAGUAUCUCCAGUUUCAUCAGUUAAAAAAUGUAGAAUGAGCCUUUGUACAAACACCAAAAAGUACAGAUAUUCCCUUGCAGAGGACUAUAUUGCCAGUUCACUCAUCAUUCAUCUUGCCAUAGCAUAUCAGUGUUGAAUUCAUGGAAAGGCAGGAAGAUUUGUGAGAAAUGUGAAGAUAUGGAAAGA
RNAcentral lists this long non-coding RNA (560 nucleotides) under Mus musculus (house mouse). Its description in RNAcentral is "predicted gene, 49763". The record is from RNAcentral. Lineage: Eukaryota; Metazoa; Chordata; Mammalia; Rodentia; Muridae.